UAGCUCAGUGGUAGAGCGCUUGCCUAGCAAGCGAAAGGCCCUGGGUUCAAUCCCCAG
This 57-nucleotide transfer RNA is filed under the name Rattus norvegicus (Norway rat). It matches the Rfam family "tRNA", at positions 8 to 63 of the family's 71-position model. From Rfam's summary of the family: Transfer RNA (tRNA) molecules are approximately 80 nucleotides in length. Their secondary structure includes four short double-helical elements and three loops (D, anti-codon, and T loops). Lineage: Eukaryota; Metazoa; Chordata; Mammalia; Rodentia; Muridae. The record is from Rfam by way of RNAcentral.